AGUGAACGCUGGCGGUAGGCCUAACACAUGCCAGUCGAACGGCAGCACAGUAAGAGCUUGCUCUUACGGGUGGCGAGUGGCGGACGGGUGAGGAAUACAUCGGAAUCUACUUUUUCGUGGGGGAUAACGUAGGGAAACUUACGCUAAUACCGCAUACGACCUACGGGUGAAAGCAGGGGAUCUUCGGACCUUGCGCGAUUGAAUGAGCCGAGGUCGGAUUAGCUAGUUGGCGGGGUAAAGGCCCACCAGGGCGACGAUCCGUAGCUGGUCUGAGAGGAUGAUCAGCCACUCUGAAAGUGAGACACGGCCCAGACGCCAAGGGGAGGCAGCAGGGGGUAUUAUUGGACAAGGAGCGCAAUCCUGACCCAGCCGUGCGACGGGGUUGAAGAAGCCCUUCGGGUGGGAAAACCCUUUUUUUGGGAAGAAAAGCCAUCGGGUUAAAACCCCACUUUUUGAAGGUAACCAAAAAAUAAGCCACGGCUAACCUCGUG
Molecule: ribosomal RNA, 491 nt
Filed under: uncultured bacterium
Lineage: Bacteria
Description: partial 16S ribosomal RNA
Rfam family: Bacterial small subunit ribosomal RNA
Source: RNAcentral